Molecule: ribosomal RNA, 492 nt
Filed under: uncultured bacterium
Lineage: Bacteria
Description: partial 16S ribosomal RNA
Rfam family: Bacterial small subunit ribosomal RNA
Source: RNAcentral
AGUGAACGCUGGCGGUAGGCCUAACGCACGCAAGUCGAACGGCAGCACAGUAAGAGCUUGCUCUUACGGGUGGCGAGUGGCGGACGGGUGAGGAAUACAUCGGAAUCUACUUUUUCGUGGGGGAUAACGUAGGGAAACUUACGCUAAUACCGCAUACGACCUACGGGUGAAAGCAGGGGAUCUUCGGACCUUGCGCGAUUGAAUGAGCCGAUGUCGGAUUAGCUAGUUGGCGGGGUAAAGGCCCACCAAGGCGACGAUCCGUAGCUGGUCUGAGAGGAUGAUCAGCCACACUGGAACUGAGACACGGUCCAGACUCCUACGGGAGGCAGCAGUGGGGAAUAUUGGACAAUGGGCGCAAGCCUGAUCCAGCCAUACCGCGUGGGUGAAGAAGGCCUUCGGGUUGUAAAGCCCUUUUGUUGGGAAAGAAAAGCAGCAGGUUAAUACCCCGCUGUUCUGACGGUACCCAAAGAAUAAGCACCGGCUAACUUCGUG